Molecule: unclassified non-coding RNA, 342 nt
Filed under: Hevea brasiliensis (rubber tree)
Lineage: Eukaryota; Viridiplantae; Streptophyta; Magnoliopsida; Malpighiales; Euphorbiaceae
Source: RNAcentral
AAGAUUAUUAAAAUAUUGUUAUUAUUGUUUCAAGUAUAUAAAUGAUUAUCAUAUAAAAUAUGAAUGUAAAAAUUUGAAACCAUUUCAAACCACCAAUUUGGUGGUUUAAAAACCUGUGGUAAAAUGAUAGUUACAUAACCAUCAUUUUAUAAUCUGGAACCACUAUUAUUCAGGAACAAUCUGAACAAAUAACGAGUAUAACUAUACCAUAUAGUAUAAAAUCAUGAUAAACCAUCAUCCAAACAAGGGUUUAUUGGUAGUAAUUCGAUUUUGAGUGGUGCUACUUACCCUCUUUCACAAUCCAAACACUAUAAAAUGAUGUUGCAAUUGGUAUUGUGAUUU